ACGGGAGGCAGCAGUGGGGAAUAUUGGGCAAUGGGCGCAAGCCUGACCCAGCAACGCCGCGUGAGGGAAGAAGGUUUUCGGUAUGUAAAGCUCUAUCAGCAAGGAAGAAAAUGACGGUACUUGACUAAGAAGCUCCGGCUAAAUACGUGCCAGCAGCCGCGGUAAUACGUAUGGAGCAAGCGUUAUCCGGAUUUACUGGGUGUAAAGGGAGCGUAGACGGCAAAGCAAGUCUGAAGUGAAAUCCCGGGGCUCAACCCCGGAACUGCUUUGGAAACUGUUUAGCUAGAGUGCAGGAGAGGUAAGCAGAAUUCCUAGUGUAGCGGUGAAAUGCGUAGAUAUUAGGAGGAACACCAGUGGCGAAGGCGGCUUACUGGACUGUAACUGACGUUGAGGCUCGAAAGCGUGGGGAGCAAACAGGAUUAGAUACCCGGUA
RNAcentral lists this ribosomal RNA (433 nucleotides) under uncultured Clostridium sp. RNAcentral describes it as "partial 16S ribosomal RNA". It matches the Rfam family "Bacterial small subunit ribosomal RNA", at positions 341 to 792 of the family's 1533-position model. The record is from RNAcentral. Lineage: Bacteria; Bacillati; Bacillota; Clostridia; Eubacteriales; Clostridiaceae.